RNAcentral lists this ribosomal RNA (421 nucleotides) under Salmonella enterica. Its description in RNAcentral is "bacterial SSU rRNA". It matches the Rfam family "Bacterial small subunit ribosomal RNA", at positions 1 to 418 of the family's 1533-position model. Lineage: Bacteria; Pseudomonadati; Pseudomonadota; Gammaproteobacteria; Enterobacterales; Enterobacteriaceae. The record is from RNAcentral.
AAAUUGAAGAGUUUGAUCAUGGCUCAGAUUGAACGCUGGCGGCAGGCCUAACACAUGCAAGUCGAACGGUAACAGGAAGCAGCUUGCUGCUUCGCUGACGAGUGGCGGACGGGUGAGUAAUGUCUGGGAAACUGCCUGAUGGAGGGGGAUAACUACUGGAAACGGUGGCUAAUACCGCAUAACGUCGCAAGACCAAAGAGGGGGAUCUUCGGGCCUCUUGCCAUCAGAUGUGCCCAGAUGGGAUUAGCUUGUUGGUGAGGUAACGGCUCACCAAGGCGACGAUCCCUAGCUGGUCUGAGAGGAUGACCAGCCACACUGGAACUGAGACACGGUCCAGACUCCUACGGGAGGCAGCAGUGGGGAAUAUUGCACAAUGGGCGCAAGCCUGAUGCAGCCAUGCCGCGUGUAUGAAGAAGGCCUU